UGGAGGCAGCAGUAAGGAAUAUUGCAUAAUGGGCGAAAGCCUGAUGCAGCAACGCCGCGUGCGCGAUGAAGGCCUUCGGGUCGUAAAGCGCUUUUCAGAGGGAUGAGGAAGGACAGUACCUCUGGAAUAAGUCUCGGCUAACUACGUGCCAGCAGCCGCGGUAAAACGUAGGAGGCAAGCGUUAUCCGGAUUUACUGGGCGUAAAGCGCGUGCAGGCGGUUUGGAAAGUUGGAUGUGAAAGCUCCUGGCUUAACUGGGAGAGGUCGUUCAAUACUUCCAGACUUGAGUAUGGUAGAGGGAGGUGGAAUUCCGGGUGUAGUGGUGAAAUGCGUAGAUAUCCGGAGGAACACCAGUGGCGAAAGCGGCCUCCUGGACCAUUUCUGACGCUCAGACGUGAAAGCUAGGGUAGCAAACGGGAUUAGAUACCCGCGUAGUCCG
Molecule: ribosomal RNA, 438 nt
Filed under: uncultured bacterium
Lineage: Bacteria
Description: bacterial SSU rRNA
Rfam family: Bacterial small subunit ribosomal RNA
Source: RNAcentral